Molecule: long non-coding RNA, 412 nt
Filed under: Hordeum vulgare
Lineage: Eukaryota; Viridiplantae; Streptophyta; Magnoliopsida; Poales; Poaceae
Description: long non-coding RNA (HVUL_LNC009070)
Source: RNAcentral
AGAGUUGUUACAGAAGUCUCUCGGUUUUCUUGAAACUGGGUUACCAUGAUUUGGUUCUGCGGAACCAAAAAACAGGGACCCAGGAUAAGAGAAAUACCAAUUUUUUCAUGAUCAGGGCGCCGUGGAACUGAGCAGCCUAUAGUCGAAAGGCCAGAAAAUUCUAUUCCGACUAAGUGCGUCACAGGAAUGGCCUAUUCCUUUAUUCAUGAGCCAGAUGAUGGACAUGAAGGGGAACAUGGGCUUGUGGCCCGGACUCUAGGUAUCUGAGCCUUUUCUGAUGAACGGUGCACCAUGUGAAUUGAUUUAUGAGGAAGUUGGAGUCAGCUUGAGCGAGAAACUGCUCCAAAACCAUCCCCUCGGGCAAAUGGCAACCCUACAGUUCCAGUUUUACUGAAUUGGAGGGACAGUCCCG